CUUAAUAUUUCCUUACUAACACAACGUAAUUAAAACGUUUAGCUGAUUUUACAGAGUUAUUUCCCUGUAGUGUUAGGUACCACCUUAAGAUAGGAAGGUGAACAACAUCUGAAAUAGACAAAAUAGAAAAUAUAUAUGAAAAUAGUUUAUUUCAAAAUUAUCUUUUAGUAGGUUCUCAGGGUUAUUAACGCAUUUGAAUGGGGACAUAUGGUUGGAACCCCCCUUUUUAAAGAUGACUGGAUCUGCACUUUAUCAUGUACCACUAAUUGCAAUAAUGUUACUGAAGAGACUGAUGUAUAAUAUAGACCAAUGCCAAGUUGUUUUUAUUUUUGAAUGCGUUGCACUGGUUACCCUGAGGUCAAUCACGAAAAUGCACAUUGGGUCUUACUGUGAUGUAUAAACAUGAUUAUAGUGACAGGAAUGUAAGGGGAAGUGCAAGAAUUUCGUCUGUUUCUCUUUUAUUAUAACAACAAAAUAAGCAAAUAAUAGGUAUACAUCUUAUCGACUUUUAAAUUAAAAUUAUUCUAUUUUGUUUUGGAAAUUUAUUUAAGAAAGUUACCAUUAACCCAAACAGCAAAUAUUGCAAAAAAAGUUAUUUAGUAUUAACUUUCUUGUACUUUAAAAAGACACUGAUUGAUAGAAUGGAUGUAAUGACCAGUCUACAUUGCAUUAAUAAUACAGAUCUUUGUCGGAUACACCAAUCAUGAGUUUCAUUUUAUGAAUGGAUUACACCAGGUGACCGAGGUCAAUAUGCCUUAAUGGUAUCAUAAAACAAUCGGUUCUAACUGUGACGAAAAAAACACAAUAGAAUUUGGCAAUCACACUACAUCUCUUUAUUUUGACAUUUCACAAUCCUCACAAUUAGUUUUUUACAUGAAGUCAAUUUGAACUUGAUUUACUAUUUCAGUUUUUGUAUAUUGAUGUCUGUGCUUCAUUGUAGUGCUGUCAAUAAUUUUUUAUUUAUUCAGAUGUAUGUUCCUUAGAUUUAAUAUAAACAUAUUUGUUUCAUAUUGAAAACACAUUAUGACUCUUAUUUUACCGUAUAAUACCUUUAAUAUGUUUUAUGAUAAUUUAUCUUGCCUUUUCCUGUAAAUGAUAUAUAAGUCUCAUUAUAUAAUUAUUUAGAUUUAUGUAGUAUUAUAUGGUUGUUGCAUGGUUUUGGUUGCACUGUAAUUUUGUAUUUUUAUUAUGGCCCCGCAAGUUUUUUUCUAAACGCCUUCAGAUAUUGGGCUGAUUUUUGGUAUGUGAGUUAACCAUGAUGAGUUACAGAUCAAGUUUAAGUUUCAUUCCGCUCCACUAAUUUUUGCCGAAAUUACAGACUUUGGACUUUGAUAAAUUAUUGAAAAUCAUAGUUAUACGGAUUUUUUUUCUAUACCCCUCCAGAUUUUGAGCUGAUUUUUUAUAUGUGAGACUACCAUCAUGUUUGUGUUCACAUGUGUUAUUGAAAUUGCAGAUUUUUCAACUUUUUGGGAUGGGGCCAUUUGUGUUGCUUUGACACAUCUAGUUGUUGUAUGGUUUUUGUUACACUUUAGUUUUGUAUCUCUGUAUCUGUUAUUUUGUCAUUUUAAUAUACUAUUAUAUAUUUUGUUAUCUUAAUGAAUGAAUGUAUAACCACAUUUUGAAAAUGUUAUAACAAGGUGUUAGAAGUUAUCUUUUCAACCUUUCUUACCAUUUACAUGAAAAAUAAAUUCU
RNAcentral lists this long non-coding RNA (1692 nucleotides) under Mytilus galloprovincialis (Mediterranean mussel). Lineage: Eukaryota; Metazoa; Mollusca; Bivalvia; Mytilida; Mytilidae. The record is from RNAcentral.